ACGGCUCAGUAACACGUCGAUAAUCUGCCCUUAGAUCCGUGACAACCUUGGGAAACUGAGGCUAAACAUGGAUAGGGGAAGGAGGCUGGGAUGCGCCUUCCCUGAAACGCAAGGUCUAAGGAUGAGUCGGCGGCUGAUUAGGUAGUUGGAGAGGUAACGGCUCACCAAGCCAGAGAUCAGUACGGGCCAUGAGAGUGGUAGCCCGGAGAAGGGUCCUGAGACACAGACCCUAGCCCUACGGGGUGCAGCAGGCGCGAAAACUUUACAAUGCACGAAAGUGUGAUAAGGGGAUCCCAAGUGCCCAUGUACUGCAUGGGCUUUUGCCAUGAGUAAACAUCUUGGCGAAUAAGUGGUGGGAAAGACUGGUGCCAGCAGCCGCGGUAACCCCAGCGCCACGAGUGGCAAUCACAAUUACUGGGCCUAAAGCGUCCGUAGCCGGCUUGAUAAAUCUCUUGUGAAAUCAUGGGGCUUAACUCCAUGACGUGCAGGAGACACUGUCGAGCUCGGGACCGGGAGGAGUCAGAGGUAUUCCGUGGGGAGCGGUAAAAUGCUAUAAUCCUCGGAGGACCACCUGUGGCAAAGGCGUCUGACUAGAACGGAUUCGACGGUGAGGGACGAAGGCUGGGGGAGCAAAACGGAUUAGAUACCCGAGUAGUCCCAGCUGUAAACGCUGCGAGCUAGGUGUUGCACAUUCUUCGUGAGUGUGCAGUGUCGUAGUGAAGACGGUAAGCUCGCCGCCUGGGAAGUACGGUCGCAAGACUGAAACUUAAAGGAAUUGGCGGGGGAG
Molecule: ribosomal RNA, 787 nt
Filed under: uncultured archaeon
Lineage: Archaea
Description: bacterial SSU rRNA
Rfam family: Archaeal small subunit ribosomal RNA
Source: RNAcentral